Diabrotica virgifera virgifera (western corn rootworm) is the source of this 5129-nucleotide long non-coding RNA. RefSeq lists it as uncharacterized. The record is from RefSeq and is a predicted model, not a curated record. The transcript has 2 exons. NCBI's taxonomy places the organism in Eukaryota, Metazoa, Arthropoda, Insecta, Coleoptera, Chrysomelidae.
UGCGGUAGCUUGGUCGAACUGCAAACGCUUAUUUAUUGUUAUUGACACUAAAACAAAACCAUUGGCAUAGAAAGAUCGCUUAUCGCAGUUUGAUCUCUAGCAAAUCCUAAUUCGCUCAAUUUUGCACCAAGUGCUCCAUACAAUAUACCAUUAGAAAGGUCUAGACGCUCACGAAGAAGAAGAAAAAGAAGUUGCAUUUGAAAUGUACCGACGUUGAUGUUGAAUGUACCGACGCAUUCUUCGUAUAUACUAGACCGAACAUGUAGCCAACGUGGAGCUAAUCCACAUAAUCGGAAAAGGGGAAGAAAUCGCGAACACAAUUUAUUAUCAAGGGCAAAAUAGACAGUACGCAAGGGUUGGUCAGAAGAAAACAUUCGUGGGUCCAAAAUCUGUGGAAGUGGUUUGGAUGCACAUGGAUGCGCAUUGCGCAAUGCGAAUGUUUACGUUUGGUCGAACUAUUCAGAAGUGCCGUACGUAAGCAACAUCAGAAUUUACAAAUUAAUAGCCAACGUUCACAAUGUACUUAAAGAAGAAAUGUAAAAUCAAUAUCAAAUCCUAGUAUAUUUUACGAAAAUAUUAUAUAAUUUGUAUGAAAUGAAUAAUCAAAGACUUAGAAUUAUUUUUAUAGAAAUAUUUUAAACUGCAUUUUUACAGAUCAAGAAGGUCAACUCUGACGUAAAUAAGUUGUUAUCAAACUACAUUUUUACAGGUCAAAAAGAUCAGUUUUAUGAUGCGGUUUCUACUAAUAAAAACGAUAAAUAUAUUAUUUUGUUCUAGAAUUUUAAGCUGAGAUAAGAGAGGGUAUAAAAUGACAGAAUCUAACAAGAACAUUGUAGAUGAGCGAAGGAAAUAGUGAAUUCAGUGAAGUGUGUGUGUGUAUACUUUUAUAAGGUAGGUGUAUUUAGCAAAUGUAGAGAUUUCUUGUUUUCUGCAAUUAUUUUUAGCACAUAAUAACAAAUUAAUAUAAUUUUAUUUCUUUUAAAGGUAUUUGAUUAUACGGUUUAUUUCUAAUUUCUAAUUUGAUUUACAAAUAUUUUUUAUUUCUUGUUUUUUCCGAAUUGUAUGAUGUACCUGUCCUCAUAUUUUUUAUUGAUUUAUGUUUUAUUUUCAAAAAUAAUGCCUUUUGAUGACAUAUGUAGCAAGUACUUCGUCUUGUUUUGUCAUUUUCUUGUUAUAAGACAGAAACGAGACGGGAUUUGAUUGCUAUCUACAUUAGGAUAAUAGUAUUUUAUGGUUUAUUUCUUAUUUCUUGUUUUUAUAAAUUGUAUGAUACAUCUGUCCUUAUAUUUUUAAAUAAUUUUACGAUUUAUUUAAAAAAUAGUAGCUUUUUUAUGCUACAUUCUACCGUAUUCCUUCUUUUUAACAAUAUACUACCAAGUAUAGCUGAUUCUCAGUAUGACAGUAAUGAAUUUUUAACAGUAUGAGAGUAAUCGUGUUGCAUUUUAUUUUAUAAAAAUGAAUUGUCAAUCUUAGUGCUGCAUUGGGUAAGUAAUAAAAACACUAUGCGUUAUUUUAUUAUUUUUAUUUAAAUUAGUACUAGUACACUGUUAAAGUUGGGAAUUAAAAAACUAGAUGCCCUAGCCGAUUUAUUUUAACAUUUUCACACAUGGACCUAACGGCAUAACGGUUAAACGAUGGUGUCUCGCAUUCUAUGUCUGUGCGCUGUUUAAAUUGUCAAUUAGAUUCUUCAUCACUAUUGCGACGUUUUUUUUUUAAUUUUUCUUGGCAUUUUCAAAGCAGCCUCAACGAUGUGGUUGCUCAUUUUUAAACAAAGGCUUGAUGAGUUUAUUAAAUUUAUCCGGGAAUGCUUGAUGUCUUAAAUAUUCUCUGGAAUCUCUAUGCAUAUAUGUGACUUCUAAUAUUUUUUUAUAAUUAAGGCUGUCCUUUGUCGUAGUCUUGUGGAUUUUUAUAAAAUAGUAAAUUAUAUAGCCCACAAGUAGCUGUAUACUUGUUAUCGUUAAUCCAAUCAUUUUUGGGAGUAAAUUUGAUUUCCUUAUCGCCCAUCAUCCAUUUAUCAGUUUGCCAAACAUACUGUGGAUCGUAAGCUCUAUCAAUAUCUGGUGAAUGAUGCCAAUAUGUUUGAAGGUGUUCAUCUUCUUCGUCUAUGCUCUCUUCGCCCUUCCGUUGCAUAUUUUUUAAGUAAUUGUGUUGGUAUCCGCUGGUCUCUUCAGUAAGCUCCUUGACACAUGCACACACUAAAUAAUUUCAUAACUGUUCUGAUAUCGAACAGAUAUAUUUAGACCAGUUUGAAACCUGUUCAGACCUGUUCACCACCUGUUCAACACCUGUUCAAAGCUGAUCGAGACCUGUUCAAGACCUGAUCAAAGCUGAUCAGACCUGUUCGAGACCUGAUCGAGACCUGAUCAAAGCUGAUCGAGACCUGUUCAAGACCUGAUCAAAGCUGAUCAAGACCUGUUCGAGACCUGUUCAAGACCUGAUCGAGACCUGAUCAAAGCUGAUCGAGACCUGUUCAAGACCUGAUCAAAGCUGAUCAAGACCUGUUCGAGACCUGUUCAAGACCUGAUCGAGACCUGAUCAAAGCUGUUCGUGACCUGAUCAAGACCUGUUCGAGACCUGAUCAGACCUGUUCGAGACCUGAUCAGACCUGAUCAAAGCUGAUCGAGACCUGAUCGAGACCUGUUCAAGACCUGAUUCAAAGCUUUCAGACGUUGAUACCUACAAUGAAUAAGGAUUUAAAGAGACAACUUAUAACUAAACGAAAAAAAAAAUCCGAAAUAACUUGAGACAACUAAAACCUACUGAUACUUUCAUGUAUCAUCUCUCUCUUGUCGUUUCCCCAUUACUGAGGAUCAUGAUUUCUUCCAAUAUUCCUAACAAUUCUGUUUCAUUGGUCUCUAUCUUCAGCUACUCUAAGAACUUCGCGGAAUGAGUUUUCAGCUGAGCUGAAUUCAUAAUUUGGUCGGACUAUCUAGUUGGUAAUCGUCCUCUAGAUUAAUAUUUUCAAACUAUCGUCACCUCUGCGAACCACGUGACUGAUGAAUUGUAGAAUUCGUUGCAUACAUAUUGUGGACAGCCUCUAUUUAAUGUCGAGUUGGUUUACAAUGGAAACGUUUGUCCUAUGAGCUGUCCAAGGUAUGCGCAGCAUUCUUACUCAACUCUUCGAAGGAGAUCAAGCAUAUCUUGCUCAUUUGCUGCUAUAAGUGUAGUGUCAUCAGCAAAUCUUAAAUUGGAGAUUUUGCUACCAGCUACUGUUUGUUAUUCCUCACUGUUUGUUUUCGGAUUUUUUCGAUAACGCUCUGUAUUCAUCGUUUGUUCCGUAUCUAGUUUUAUGUUUUUUCCGCGUUGAAUCAUAGUCAUAGCUCACUAGAAUCACUCAUGCCAUGAGCAGGGAAAAAUGUAACCAAGUUCAAUAAAUGUCUUAAAUGCAGCACUUUUACAUUGAUUCUUAUGGAAGAACAAGCACACAUUUAGACAUUUGAGGGGCCUUUUGAGCAUAACAUAAUACCAUUCAGUUUUCCGUCCAACUAAAAGUAUAUUUAAUAGUCUUCUGUCAUCGAGGCCUAUGCUCUCGGUGUGCAUCGCCCCGCCUUCUCUCUUCUGACGCGAGUCAGAAGCUCCACCCGUCGAGGAUUUGGAAUUCCCAGCUGUCGUGCACGUCACAGUCGACGGUUCUAUAAAAGCUGGCGGUUCCAAUCCUCGAUAUCUCAGUCCGCAGUCGUCCUCCGGCCUGUACGGGCUUGCCCGUCAGCCUGGGGCGCUGCACUCGCCUUACCCUGACUCUGUGGUCUGGGGUCGUUCUACCAUAAGAAGUUGUUUUAUUUUAUUAGUCUAGUUCCAGUAUAGUGACUUCUCUUUUAGGUUUUCGUUUCAUAAUGUAAGAAAACGAGCUUUGGUCUGGUUCUUUUCAGAACCAGCCAAAGUUUCAUAGAAGACAAGAAACCAUUAGUUCUUAGUGUAAGAACUGUACUGAGUUCUGUUCUUCGAACGGCAGAACUCAGUACAACUCUUCAAGUAGCAGAGUAGGAGCAUUUUAUUUUUAGGUUUCUAAUGUAAGAAUCAUGUAUCGAGUUCUUAUUAGAACUCGGUACACCCCAGCACUGGUCUUUAUCAAGGCCCAUAGUGCACCUCCAAUUGCCUUAGCCCCGGAGGGCUGAGGCGUAGCAGCGAUCCUGCAGAGCCAUCCAUAUACCGAAAAUGGAUGAGGACCCAACAGGCCGGGGGUGAAUUGAGUAGCCUCUUGCAUGCUGGAAGUUAGAGGCCCUUCGAGGGGGACUUACGACUCUAACUUUCAGCUCCUGUUGUGGACAUGGCGCCCAACUAGUGGAUCAACCCUCCCACCCGACCCUUGAGAUUGAGAGUCACACCAAGCCAUCCGGCUGAGUUCACCUGGAGGUGGGCCCAAAGAUGACAGCGGGGAGGCCAUGUUAGAGUGCCUGGUAGGCCAACAUUCCGCCUCAUCAAGGGCUCCUGCGGAAACCAGAUGUCUCGGUGUGCCAGAUCGCCGACGAGCCAGACUUCGCCGAAGUCGGAUGUCCCCCAGAAGCCAACGAGAGUCCUCGGAGUAGCCGCUGAGAAGAAUCUCCUGGGCAGGCGCCUGGUCCAUGCCUAGCAGCGAGAACUCACCCUACGUGAACCCGUUGGAACAUGGUAGAUGGGAGAACAGAGGACCUAGGAGGAGCCGAACUUCGAGGGAGCUGGUACAUUGACGGAGGAUGGUGGACGCAGGAGCAAGAGAUGACGUUCAGACCAACGACGACCCCAGAAAGCUGUCUCAUGUGAGUUUGUGUGAUUUUCAAAGACUUUUUUUUAUUGUAUUUUCUCUUUUACAUUUUUUUACAUGUAUUUUAAAUUUAUUUCGAUUUAAUAAAUUUUUAUUCCAGCCACAGAGUCUUCCAAAGGAGGGGGGAUGUCAUCGAGGCCUAUGCUCUCGGUGUGCAUCGCCCCGCCUUCUCUCUUCUGACGCGAGUCAGAAGCUCCACCCGUCGAGGAUUUGGAAUUCCCAGCUGUCGUGCACGUCACAGUCGACGGUUCUAUAAAAGCUGGCGGUUCCAAUCCUCGAUAUCUCAGUCCGCAGUCGUCCUCCGGCCUGUACGGGCUUGCCCGUCAGCCUGGGGCGCUGCACUCGCCUUACCCUGACUCUGUGGUCUGGGGUCGUUCUACCAUAAGAA